UACAGAGGUCUCAAGCGUUGUUCGGAUUCAUUGGGCGUAAAGGGUGUGUAGGUGGCGCCGUAAGUCGGGUGUGAAAUUUCGGAGCUUAACUCCGAAACUGCAUUCGAUACUGCGGUGCUUGAGGACUGGAGAGGAGACUGGAAUUCAUGGUGUAGCAGUGAAAUGCGUAGAGAUCAUGAGGAAGACCAGUGGCGAAGGCGGGUCUCUGGACAGUUCCUGACACUGAAACACGAAGGCCAGGGGAGCAAACGGG
Molecule: ribosomal RNA, 253 nt
Filed under: uncultured bacterium
Lineage: Bacteria
Description: partial 16S ribosomal RNA
Rfam family: Bacterial small subunit ribosomal RNA
Source: RNAcentral